Molecule: ribosomal RNA, 339 nt
Filed under: Triticum aestivum (bread wheat)
Lineage: Eukaryota; Viridiplantae; Streptophyta; Magnoliopsida; Poales; Poaceae
Description: partial small subunit ribosomal RNA
Source: RNAcentral
AUGUUUCCGUUCAGUUUCAAGAGGAAACAAUUUCCAAUCAAACUCAGUUUUGCUAUGACAAUUAACAAAUCACAAGGCCAGACAAUACCGAAUGUCGGCAUCUACAGGCCUUAACCCGUUUUCUCACAUGGUCAACUAUAUGUCGCACUAUCUAGAGCAACCGCGACAUCAAAUAUAAAGGUAUUAACAGGUACACAUGAUGAGAGCAAGCAGAAGAAGAAAAAGAACAACAUAAACGACACAUACACAAAGGGAGAGAAGAAAAAGGAAAAGGAAAGGACCAGCACAAGCGGGACAUAUGCGAAAAAUAUUGUCUACAAGGAAGUCCUAACCAAAUAG